Molecule: long non-coding RNA, 279 nt
Organism: Rhagoletis zephyria (snowberry fruit fly)
Lineage: Eukaryota; Metazoa; Arthropoda; Insecta; Diptera; Tephritidae
Source: RefSeq, a predicted model, not a curated record
UUAAGAAAAUAUUUAAGUCUUACGAAAAAGCGUUGAGCACAAAUCAAAAUGAAAUUAAACAAAAUAGUUGAUUGAGGGUUGCACAUCACACUGCGCAAAUUUGCGUGACAAACUUUCCACGCAAACUUGCCCUUUUUGUGCAAAUAGCUUUCCAUACAAAUUUUGACAUUUCAUUUGCGAGGGUUUUAAAUUGUACAGUUUGCCCAGUUUGCGAGAGUUUUGCGCUUUUAAAUGAGUACCCUUAAUGUGAAUAUAUAUACAAAAAAAAAGUGUGAUAUU